GAUGAACGCUAGCGGCAGGCUUAACACAUGCAAGUCGAGGGGCAGCGCGGGAUAGCAAUAUCCUGGCGGCGACCGGCGGAAGGGUGCGUAACGCGUGAGCGACAUGCCCGUUGCCCGGGGACAACCGGUGGAAACGCCGACUAAUCCCCGAUGGGAUAUUGUGCCGCAUGGCACGAUAUUGAAAGUUACGGCGGCGACGGAUUGGCUCGCGUCCGAUUAGCUGGUUGGCGGGGUAACGGCCCACCAAGGCUGCGAUCGGUAGGGGUUCUGAGAGGAAGGCCCCCCACACUGGGACUGAGACACGGCCCAUACUCCUACGGGAGGCAGCAGUGAGGAAUAUUGGUCAAUGGGCGGAAGCCUGAACCAGCCAUGCCGCGUGCGGGAAGGAGGCCCUAUGGGCUGUGAACCGCUUUUGCCUGGGGGCAAUAAGGGCGUCGCGCACGUCCGAUGAGAGUACCAGGCGAAUAAGCAUCGGCUAACUCCGUG
Molecule: ribosomal RNA, 486 nt
Filed under: uncultured bacterium
Lineage: Bacteria
Description: partial 16S ribosomal RNA
Rfam family: Bacterial small subunit ribosomal RNA
Source: RNAcentral